Molecule: ribosomal RNA, 500 nt
Filed under: uncultured bacterium
Lineage: Bacteria
Description: partial 16S ribosomal RNA
Rfam family: Bacterial small subunit ribosomal RNA
Source: RNAcentral
AUUGAACGCUGGCGGCAUGCUUUACACAUGCAAGUCGAACGGUAACAGGGUGCUUGCACCGCUGACGAGUGGCGAACGGGUGAGUAAUGCGUCGGAACGUGCCGAGUAGUGGGGGAUAACGCAGCGAAAGUUGUGCUAAUACCGCAUACGUACUGAGGUAGAAAGUGGGGGACCUUCGGGCCUCACGCUAUUCGAGCGACCGACGUCUGAUUAGCUAGUAGGUGAGGUAAAGGCUCACCUAGGCGACGAUCAGUAGCGGGUCUGAGAGGAUGGUGCGCCACACUGGGACUGAGACACGGCCCAGACUCCUACGGGAGGCAGCAGUGGGGAAUUUUGGACAAUGGGCGAAAGCCUGAUCCAGCCAUGCCGCGUGUCUGAAGAAGGCCUUCGGGUUGUAAAGGACUUUUGUCAGGGAGGAAAUCCCUAGUGCUAAUAACACUGGGGGAUGACAGUACCUGAAGAAUAAGCACCGGCUAACUACGUGCCAGCCGCCGCAGUAA